CGAUUCUCUAGAAUUCGACAUCAACAUGGUGGCGCAGAUGGCGGGAAAUUCUGGUGAAAUAUCCUGUAUGGAAGAUUGCAGAGCAGAGGGAGAGUGCGGAAACCCAGAACAGAAGGCAUUGCCAUCCAGGGCCAGCAAGGGGCACAUCUCCUCCCUGAAGAGCUGCUCACCGAGGCUUUCAUCCUGAGUGACCUCUUUGACAUCGGGGAGCUGGCACUCCUGGAGCUGCUGCUGGCAGGUGAGAACCAACACCACCACUUCCCAGGUCUGAGUUGGGGGCUGGUUGCAGUGCGGCUCUACUGGGAUGGAAAGCUUUGUGUGGCCAACUCCCUGCGCUCGCUCAUCCAGUGCCUCCACUGCAAGACCUUCACCUUGGAACUAAGUGAGGAACUGUUGGCCCUCACCACACAUUUCACAGUUGAGCUGAUGAGCCAGGGCCUGACGACGUGCCUACUGAGGCUGGUAUCAGAGAUCAAUGUGAUGCGGGAGUUUGAGCGCCUUCAGUAAGAGCGUGGCCUGGGAAACGAGAAACAUAGGAAAGAUGUGAGAGGAAGCACUUCUCAGUGUAAUUGUAUCAUCUACAGAAGACGUUUUGCCCUUCACACAUUCUCUUUCUUUACCAGGUAUCUGACCUCAUCAAAGUGUGCCGACAGGAUCUGGCAGAUUGCCUGUUUGCAUGGACCUGCCAAUCACCACUGGGUAAAGAUGACACCCUAGCCCUUAUUGGCCACCUGAAGACCAUGACAUCGGAAGCUGAUGGCUCAUUGGACAGAGUGAACCUGGCUCUAGUCAUGGCACUGCUUUACUGUUUGGAUGUCAGCUUCCUAGAACAAAGAACAGAAGACAGAGAAGAUCGGAGAGUUCUCUAGCAAGGACCCGUUUGGGCUGGAGCUGGCUCUGGAGUUCUGGUGCCCCACUGAGUUUCUCCAGGGUUCCUACCCGGGCAUGGCCAUGCAGAGGCCUCCACACUACCAGGUACCUGUAUCACAGCAGCACCAAUCCAGAGGCGGCCUUCCAGAGCACUAAGAUUCUCUGACGCAUCGCCCGCUACCCCAACAUCCACAACUGGCUGGUGGGAGACUUCACACAUGACCAGGCUAGUCACUCGAACCCACUACCACUCCUUUCAUUCGCCGCCUGCCAGACUUUCAGCUGGCUAAGAAGGAGGUGAGGAUCCGCCACGAGACCCAGAUCCUGAACCUUCUGAUCACUUCCCUGGAGCUAAAGGCCCCCAACCUGGCCCUCUACCUGCUGGACUACGAGGUCAAGAAGCCCAUCUCCUCCACCAACCUGCAGGCUUGGGGAGUGGCUAGAGUCGAGUCAUGCGUCCUCCGAAACAUGACCCACCUAACUGCACUUCUUAACACCUGCUUGCUUAAUCCGGAAGCCAGUUACACCAAUGUGUCGGAGGAAACACCGCUCAACUGAUGACCGAAGUCAGCCUGCAGGCACCCGGCCCGCCACAGGGAGUCACAAGAGCGCGAUGAGCCAAGUAAGCGCGAUGAGCCAAGCAUCCCCUAACCCGGAUGAUGUUGGCUCAAUUGUGCGCCGCCCUAUGGGACUCCCGGUCACGGCUGGUAAUGACACAGCCUGGGAUCGAACCCCAGGCUGUAGUGACACUGCCACACUGAUGCAAUGCCUUAGACCGCUGUGCCA
This is a long non-coding RNA of Oncorhynchus masou masou (cherry salmon), 1656 nucleotides long. RefSeq lists it as uncharacterized. The transcript has 7 exons. Lineage: Eukaryota; Metazoa; Chordata; Actinopteri; Salmoniformes; Salmonidae. The record is from RefSeq and is a predicted model, not a curated record.